AUUGAACGCUGGCGGCAUGCUUUACACAUGCAAGUCGAACGGCAGCGCGGGCUUCGGCCUGGCGGCGAGUGGCGAACGGGUGAGUAAUGCAUCGGAACGUGCCCAGUAGUGGGGGAUAGCUCGGCGAAAGCCGGAUUAAUACCGCAUACGACCUGAGGGUGAAAGCGGGGGAUCUUCGGACCUCGCGCCAUUGGAGCGGCCGAUGGCAGAUUAGCUAGUUGGUGGGGUAAAGGCCUACCAAGGCGACGAUCUGUAGCUGGUCUGAGAGGACGACCAGCCACACUGGGACUGAGACACGGCCCAGACUCCUACGGGAGGCAGCAGUGGGGAAUUUUGGACAAUGGGCGAAAGCCUGAUCCAGCAAUGCCGCGUGUGUGAUGAAGGCCUUCGGGUUGUAAAGCACUUUUGGCGGGAACGAAAAGGACUGUGCCAAUACCACGGUUCGAUGACGGUACCCGCAGAAUAAGCACCGGCUAACUACGUG
Molecule: ribosomal RNA, 484 nt
Filed under: uncultured bacterium
Lineage: Bacteria
Description: partial 16S ribosomal RNA
Rfam family: Bacterial small subunit ribosomal RNA
Source: RNAcentral